GACGAACGCUGGCGGCGUGCUUAACACAUGCAAGUCGAACGGAAAGGCCCUGCUUUUGUGGGAUGCUCGAUUGGCGAACGGGUGAGUAACACGUGAGUAACCUGCCCUUGACUUUGGGAUAACUUCAGGAAACUGGGGCUAAUACCGGAUAGGAGCUCCUGCUGCAUUGUGGGGGUUGGAAAGUUUCGGCGGUUGGGGAUGGACUCGCGGCUUAUCAGCUUGUUGGUGGGGUAGUGGCUUACCAAGGCUUUGACGGGUAGCGGGCCUGAGAGGGUGACCGGGAACAUUGGGACUGAGCUACGGCCCAGAGUCCUAAGGGAGGCAGCAGUGGGGAAUAUUGCAUAAUGGGCGGAAGCCUGAUGCAGCAACGCCGCGUGCGGGAUGAUGGCCUUCGGGUUUUAAACCGUUUUCGCCUGUGACGAAGCGUGAGUGACGGUAAUGGGUAAAGAAGCACCGGCUAACUACGUG
RNAcentral lists this ribosomal RNA (468 nucleotides) under uncultured bacterium. RNAcentral's name for it is "partial 16S ribosomal RNA". It matches the Rfam family "Bacterial small subunit ribosomal RNA", at positions 28 to 507 of the family's 1533-position model. The record is from RNAcentral.